AACGCUGGCGGCAGGCCUAACACAUGCAAGUCGAGCGCACUCUUCGGAGUGAGCGGCGGACGGGUUAGUAACGCGUGGGAACGUACCCAGAUCUAAGGAAUAGCCACUGGAAACGGUGAGUAAUACCUUAUACGCCCUUCGGGGGAAAGAUUUAUCGGAUUUGGAUCGGCCCGCGUUAGAUUAGAUAGUUGGUGGGGUAACGGCCUACCAAGUCUACGAUCUAUAGCUGGUUUUAGAGGAUGAUCAGCAACACUGGGACUGAGACACGGCCCAGACUCCUACGGGAGGCAGCAGUGGGGAAUCUUGGACAAUGGGCGCAAGCCUGAUCCAGCCAUGCCGCGUGAGUGAUGAAGGCCUUAGGGUCGUAAAGCUCUUUCGCCAGGGAUGAUAAUGACAGUACCUGGUAAAGAAACCCCGGCUAACUCCGUGCCAGCAGCCGCGGUAAUACGGAGGGGGUUAGCGUUGUUCGGAAUUACUGGGCGUAAAGCGCGCGUAGGCGGGUUGUUAAGUUAGAGGUGAAAUCCCGGGGCUCAACCCCGGAACUGCCUUUAAUACUGGCAACCUAGAGUUCGAGAGAGGUGAGUGGAAUUCCGAGUGUAGAGGUGAAAUUCGUAGAUAUUCGGAGGAACACCAGUGGCGAAGGCGGCUCACUGGCUCGAUACUGACGCUGAGGUGCG
RNAcentral lists this ribosomal RNA (677 nucleotides) under Roseobacter sp. J483. RNAcentral's name for it is "bacterial SSU rRNA". It matches the Rfam family "Bacterial small subunit ribosomal RNA", at positions 32 to 755 of the family's 1533-position model. The record is from RNAcentral. Lineage: Bacteria; Pseudomonadati; Pseudomonadota; Alphaproteobacteria; Rhodobacterales; Roseobacteraceae.